This 301-nucleotide ribosomal RNA is filed under the name uncultured bacterium. RNAcentral describes it as "partial 16S ribosomal RNA". It matches the Rfam family "Bacterial small subunit ribosomal RNA", at positions 509 to 807 of the family's 1533-position model. The record is from RNAcentral.
CAGUCGCCACGGUAAUACGUAGGUGGCAAGCGUUGUCCGGAAUUAUUGGGCGUAAAGGGCUCGCAGGCGGUUUCUUAAGUCUGAUGUGAAAGCCCCCGGCUCAACCGGGGAGGGUCAUUGGAAACUGGGAAACUUGAGUGCAGAAGAGGAGAGUGGAAUUCCACGUGUAGCGGUGAAAUGCGUAGAGAUGUGGAGGAACACCAGUGGCGAAGGCGACUCUCUGGUCUGUAACUGACGCUGAAGAGCGAAAGCGUGGGGAGCGAACAGGAUUAGAUACCCCGGUAGUCCCUGUCUCUUAUAC